This 468-nucleotide ribosomal RNA is filed under the name uncultured bacterium. Its description in RNAcentral is "partial 16S ribosomal RNA". It matches the Rfam family "Bacterial small subunit ribosomal RNA", at positions 28 to 507 of the family's 1533-position model. The record is from RNAcentral.
GACGAACGCUGGCGGCGUGCUUAACACAUGCAAGUCGAACGGAAAGGCCCUGCUUUUGUGGGGUGCUCGAGUGGCGAACGGGUGAGUAACACGUGAGUAACCUGCCCUUGACUUUGGGAUAACUUCAGGAAACUGGGGCUAAUACCGGAUAGGAGCUCCUGCUGCAUGGCGGGGGUUGGAAAGUUUCGGCGGUAGGGGAUGGACUCGCGGCUUAUCAGCUUGUUGGUGGGGUAGUGGCUUACCAAGGCUUUGACGGGUAGCCGGCCUGAGAGGGUGACCGGCCACAUUGGGACUGAGAUACGGCCCAGACUCCUACGGGAGGCAGCAGUGGGGAAUAUUGCACAAUGGGCGGAAGCCUGAUGCAGCAACGCCGCGUGCGGGAUGACGGCCUUCGGGUUGUAAACCGCUUUCGCCUGUGACGAAGCGAGAGUGACGGUAAUUGGUAAAGAAGCACCGGCUAACUACGUG